Molecule: long non-coding RNA, 2145 nt
Organism: Mytilus californianus (California mussel)
Lineage: Eukaryota; Metazoa; Mollusca; Bivalvia; Mytilida; Mytilidae
Exons: 3
Source: RefSeq, a predicted model, not a curated record
CUUAGUUUAACAUAGGACCCUAUGGGAAAUACAUACAAAUGUCUUCUUUUAGAGAACCACUGAAUGGAAUGAAACCAAACAUGGCAUGAAUGUUUCUUAUGAGGUGCUGACCGAGUGUUGUUACUUUGAAGCCGAUCCAUGAUCCAAGAUGGCCGCCAGCGGGGGACUUAGUUUAACAUAGGACCCUACAGGAAAUACAUACAAAUGUCUUCUUUUAGAGAACCACUGAAUGCAAUGAAACCAAACAUGGCAUGAAUGUUCCUUAUGAGGUGCUGACCGAGUGUUGUUACUUUGAAGCCGAUCCAUAAUCCAAGAUGGCCGCCUGCAGGGGACUUAGUUUAACAUGGGACCCUAUGAGAAAUACAUACAAAUGUCUUCUUUUAGAGAAUCACUGAAUGGAAUGAAACCAAACAUGGCAUGAAUGUUCCUUAUGAGGUGCUGACCAAGUGUUGUUACUUUGAAGCUGAUCCAUCAUCCAAGAUGGCAGCCAGCGGGGGACUUAGUUUAACAUAGGACCCUAUGGGAAAUACAUACAAAUGUCUUCUUUUAGAGAACCACUGAAUGCAAUGAAACCAAACAUGGCAUGAAUGUUCCUUAUGAGGUGCUGACCAAGUGUUGUUACUAUGAAGCCGAUCCAUAAUCUAAGAUGGCCGCCAGCGGAGGACUUAGUUUAACAUAGGACCCUAUGAGAAAUACGUACAAAUGUUUUCUUUUUGAGAACCAUUGAAUGGAAUGAAACCAAACAUGGCAUGCAUGUUCCUUUUGAGGUGCUGACCAAGUGUUGUUACUUUGAAGCUGAUCCUUCAUCCAUGAUGGCUGCCAGAUGGGGACAAUGUUUAACAUAGGACCCUAUGGGAAAUACAUACAAAUGUCUUCUUUUAGAGAACCACUGAAUGGAAUGAAACCAAACAUGGCAUGAAUGUUCCUUAUGAGGUGCUGACCGAGUGUUGUUACUUUGAAGCCGAUUCAUAAUCCAAGAUGGCCGCCAGCGGGGGACUUAGUUUAACAUAGGACCCUAUGGGAAAUACAUACAAAUGUCUUCUUUUAGAGAACCACUGAAUGGAAUGAAACCAAACAUGGCAUGAAUGUUUCUUAUGAGGUGCUGACCGAGUGUUGUUACUUUGAAGCCGAUCCAUAAUCCAAGAUGGCCGCCUGCAGGGGACUUAGUUUAACAUGGGACCCUAUGAGAAAUACAUACAAAUGUCUUCUUUUAGAGAAUCACUGAAUGGAAUGAAACCAAACAUGGCAUGAAUGUUCCUCAUGAGGUGCUGACCAAGUGUUGUUACUAUGAAGCUGAUCCAUAAUCCAAGAUGGCCGCCAGCGGGGGACUUAGUUUAACAUAGGACCCUAUGGGAAAUACAUACAAAUGUCUUCUUUUAGAGAAUCACUGAAUGGAAUGAAACCAAACAUGGCAUGAAUGUUCCUUAUGAGGUGCUGACCAAGUGUUGUUACUAUGAAGCUGAUCCAUAAUCCAAGAUGGCCGCCAGCAGGGGACUUAGUUUAACAUUGGACCCUAUGGGAAAUACAUACAAAUGUCUUCUUUCAGAGAACCACUGAAUGGAAUGAAACCAAACAUGGCAUGAAUGUUUCUUAUGAGGUGCUGACCGAGUGUUGUUACUUUGAAGCCGAUCCAUAAUCCAAGAUGGCCGCCUGCAGGGGACUUAGUUUAACAUGGGACCCUAUGAGAAAUACAUACAAAUGUCUUCUUUUAGAGAACCACUGAAUGGAAUGAAACCAAACAUGGCAUGAAUGUUCCUUAUGAGGUGCUGACCGAGUGUUGUUACUUUGAAGCCGAUCCAUAAUCCAAGAUGGCCGCCAGCGGGGGACUUAGUUUAACAUGGGACCCUAUGGGAAAUACAUACAAACUUCUUCUUUUAGAGAACCACUGAAUGGAAUGAAAUCAAACAUGGGAAGAAUGUUCCUUAUGAGGUGCUUACCAAGUGUUGUUACGUUGAAGCUGAUCCAUCAUCCAAGAUGGCAGCCAGCGGGGGACAUAGUUUAACAUAGGACCCUAUGGGAAAUACAUACAAAUGUCUUCUUUUAGAGAACCACUGAAUGCAAUGAAACCAAACAUGGCAUGAAUGUUCCUUAUGAGGUGCUGACCAAGUGUUGUUACUAUGAAGCCGAUCCAUAAUCUAAGAUGGC